CGCGUAGGCGGCCUGUUAAGUCGAACGUGAAAUCCCCGGGCUCAACCCGGGGACUGCGUCCGAUACUGGCAGGCUUGAAUCCGGGAGAGGGAUGUGGAAUUCCAGGUGUAGCGGUGAAAUGCGUAGAUAUCUGGAGGAACACCGGUGGCGAAGGCGGCAUCCUGGACCGGUAUUGACGCUGAGGCGCGAAAGCCAGGGGAGCAAACG
Molecule: ribosomal RNA, 207 nt
Filed under: uncultured bacterium
Lineage: Bacteria
Description: partial 16S ribosomal RNA
Rfam family: Bacterial small subunit ribosomal RNA
Source: RNAcentral